Molecule: ribosomal RNA, 376 nt
Filed under: uncultured bacterium
Lineage: Bacteria
Description: bacterial SSU rRNA
Rfam family: Bacterial small subunit ribosomal RNA
Source: RNAcentral
UACGUAGGUGGCAAGCGUUGUCCGGAUUUACUGGGCGUAAAGGGAGCGUAGGCGGAUACUUAAGUGGGAUGUGAAAUACCUGGGCUUAACUUGGGUGCUGCAUUCCAAACUGGGUGUCUAGAGUGUUGGAGAGGAAAGUGGAAUUCCUAGUGUAGCGGUGAAAUGCGUAGAGAUUAGGAAGAACACCAGUGGCGAAGGCGACUUUCUGGACAAUAACUGACGCUGAGGCUCGAAAGCGUGGGGAGCAAACAGGAUUAGAUACCCUGGUAGUCCACGCCGUAAGCGAUGGGUACUAGGUGGAGGAGGGAUCGACUCCUCCUGUGCCGACGUUAACACGAUAAGUACCCCGCCUGGGGAGUACGGUCGCAAGAUUAAA